GCGAGUGUUAUUGCUUCUACAUUCCCUCGCCAGCGGCGUCCUGCUGGUAGACUGGACUUGUCUCCUCGCCCUGCACUACUACUGGUUCUGCACUCCCGUUUUCGACUGCGGUGGGUACCUAGCACGCUCCUGCACAUCGACUUUCCGUUCUGCGCUCCAAAGGAGAUUACUUCAGGCACCAGCAUCACCCGUUCCAUGAGCGACUGCUAUUGCUUCUAUGUUCUCUAGCCGACGGCGUCCUGCUGGCAUACUGGACUUAGCCUGGCGCCCUUGCACAUAAUUCUGGUUCCCAGUGUUUGCUGUCGCUUGGGGCGCAAGAGAAACGUUCCAACACUCCCAUUUACAAGAACAUUCCUGGCCUUGCCUCACGAGCAACUACAUUCAGCCCGGUCGCCCUGCCCCGUGCUCUAUACAAGCUUCCUCACAUUAAUGAACGCGUCGCACACCUGUCUUGGCGGUGUCCUGCACUGUGUUGACGGCGAGUUCAUGCUCUGAAGGACUGCGUGUGGUCACCGUCCCGAGACAAUCCAUAGGAUGUGCUCCUACAGUUCGCGGUUCCCUUUUUUUCCGUAGGCAUAUUCAAGUUUUGUGUAGCAAGCUUUUCUGUUUUUGAAGAGUGGCACGUUGCUCAGCGAAUGUAUAGCGCUUCUAGAAAUCGGGUUAAUACGAAGCAGUACAGUAAAGGUCUGGUUAAGUGGACACCACUCUGUACUUAGUAAGGACUGUCAUGUUUUCAUGAGCGGAUCUGUAAAUUUUUGGUGGCGAGAGUAAUGGACAUUCAUUCAUUGUGCUCUUUCGUAGUGUGUGUGUGAAAAACUAACUCUAGAUUCGCCGGUCUUCUGCGGUCUUCAGAUGGCUUCGUCCAUCUUCUAGCACAACGGUCGGUUGCCCUUAGUCCAGGGCUCCGCUGGAUGCUGCUGCCAGUUGUGCUCGCCGAAUCAGACCUUCUUGAUCGACCCGGCGUUCGGUGGAGAACACUCGCUCCCAUUGCUCCGCUCUCGGCUUUGGUAUAUAACGGGUACCACGUCUAUCUUCUGGCAUGCCCACGUUAUGUGAUAUAGCGUGGGUGUUUCGUGGCACCAGGGGCAUUUGUCAUUGUAUUGUGUGGGAUACAUUUUGCUGAGUACGUUUAUGUUCGGGUACGAGCCCGUUUGUAGCUGCCUCCACGCGACAGUGCUCUCUUCUAAGGGAGUUAGUUAUGCGGUGGUGGAUACCGCUCUCUGCAGUCCUUGUAGUAAUUUAGUAUCGCCGAAUAGUCUUUGGGUACAGGUUCGGUCCUCUCGAGGUCGCCUACGUUGGAUGCUCGGUAAUAAGUGUACCCUCGAUAGAACAACUUUUUUGAAGAAUAAAACGCUCAAUGGUUGGAGCCCCUAGACAAGGGCCCCACUGGAUUCCGCACGCCAUCUUGUUUGUUGGAUGAUGGCCCUUUGGACCUCUUCCUGUGAGCUGGACAGCGCCGCCUCCCAUUGUGUAUGAUCCGUAAUUUCUGUGUUUCUUUUGUGUAUAUGCCGUGCAUGCCCAUGAUAUGUGGUCUAAGGUUGGCGUG
This is a long non-coding RNA of Dermacentor albipictus, 1546 nucleotides long. RefSeq lists it as uncharacterized. The record is from RefSeq and is a predicted model, not a curated record. NCBI's taxonomy places the organism in Eukaryota, Metazoa, Arthropoda, Arachnida, Ixodida, Ixodidae.